AAAAAAGACUCCUUCCAAAACAGCUACGCCAGUUGGAAUGAAGUACUGGAGAAGUAGAGAGAGGUGGGCCGAGAGUUAGAGAAGAGAUGAGGAAAAAAGCUGAUUGCCCUCCAGGAAACGCAUGGUGUGACUACAGCAGAGACCUCCAGAUUCCUCCUGGGGCAGAGGACGUGCGUUGCUAGGAGAUGGUUGUUGGGCUGGUGUUGCCAUGCGUGGAUGCUGUUGCCUGCCAUGCUCCGAUGUGCAGGAGGGCAAGGAUUCAAUACUCUUUCAGGGAGCAUGUGUGAAAGGACCUUAAGAGCCAUGGAAAAAGAAGGGAAAAAAAACUGUGCUCCAUCAUCAUCACCAUCAUCAUCAUCAUCAUCAGGGACUAGUAAUGACUUCCCCUAUCUCUAGGGGGCACCCUUAGCACCUGAGUCACAGGACCAACAGAGCCAGCUUUUUCCCCCCUUGAAACUGUGACCAAUCCAACAUUUGUGGCUGCCAAGAAUAGAUGUCACAGGCACAUGAUCAUUGUAACUGCCUCGGAGGUGGUCAGUCCGCCCUUCUUAGAGCCGGUUCCUGAGGGGGAUAGAGGACGAGGCGUCGACGUGCAAAGGAAGCAUUCAAGUCUCAUGGAAACUGGCUAAUGGCUUUGGGCUUGGUUGCUAGAGAGUUGGAAGAUUGAGGCAUGACAGAGAGGAAAGCUAGCAAGCACAGGGUGCUUGGGGACUUGUGUUGGUGUGCAGAGGAAGGCUGUAGCCAGCGCUCUGAGGAGCUCAACUUGGUUCUGCUCUGGUUCUGGUGCUGGCUGACCAGCAGGCCCCCGCGGCUCAGGCCCAACUCCAGGACGGGCAGUAGUGGAACGGACAAAGGACUUCAUUCUCUGUGGGGGGAGGAAAGGGAGGGGGAGAAGUGGGGUGGUGGUGAAGGGGGGAGUUAGGGAGAUGAGGAAAGCUGGAGAGGGAAGGGGGUGGGGGGUGCUGGUGAGCCCAGCGCAAGGGGUCUUAUCCUCCCGGCUCAAACACAUGCCACCAGCUGCUGCCCCCUUCCUGUGCUUUCAUUAAAAAGCCUCCCUGUGCUCCGCUGGGUAAUCCACAUGCUUUACUGAAAAAGUGUGAGGUAAAUACAGUAUGUCUGUCCAUU
Long non-coding RNA from Lates calcarifer (barramundi perch), 1125 nucleotides. RefSeq lists it as uncharacterized. NCBI's taxonomy places the organism in Eukaryota, Metazoa, Chordata, Actinopteri, Centropomidae. The record is from RefSeq and is a predicted model, not a curated record. The transcript has 2 exons.